Molecule: ribosomal RNA, 253 nt
Filed under: uncultured bacterium
Lineage: Bacteria
Description: partial 16S ribosomal RNA
Rfam family: Bacterial small subunit ribosomal RNA
Source: RNAcentral
UACAGAGGGUGCAAGCGUUGUUCGGAAUUAUUGGGCGUAAAGCGCGUGUAGGCGGCUUUGCAAGUCGGGUGUGAAAUCCCUCAGCUCAACUGAGGAAGUGCGCCCGAAACUGCAGAGCUUGAGUACCGGAGAGGAUGGCGGAAUUCACGGUGUAGCAGUGAAAUGCGUAGAUAUCGUGAGGAACACCGGUGGCGAAGGCGGCCAACUGGACGAAUACUGACGCUGAGACACGAAAGCGUGGGGAGCAAACAGG